AAUGGAAGCUGAACUAUGAAUGCUUGCGGUUUCAGUGUCUGCAUGCAAUUAGCAGUCUUCCUAUAGUAAUGCAAUGGAGAUCUCUGCCUAGCUCAGUGAAGAACAGUCUGGGCCUGGUCGUUCUCCUCCAUACACG
This 136-nucleotide small nucleolar RNA is filed under the name Leptobrachium leishanense (Leishan spiny toad). RNAcentral describes it as "Small Cajal body specific RNA 3 (ENSLLEG00000016814.1)". It matches the Rfam family "Small Cajal body specific RNA 3". From Rfam's summary of the family: scaRNAs are a specific class of small nuclear RNAs which localise to the Cajal bodies and guide the modification of RNA polymerase II transcribed spliceosomal RNAs U1, U2, U4, U5 and U12. The record is from Rfam by way of RNAcentral. Lineage: Eukaryota; Metazoa; Chordata; Amphibia; Anura; Megophryidae.